Molecule: long non-coding RNA, 4388 nt
Organism: Dromaius novaehollandiae (emu)
Lineage: Eukaryota; Metazoa; Chordata; Aves; Casuariiformes; Dromaiidae
Exons: 2
Source: RefSeq, a predicted model, not a curated record
UUCAUUGAAUUUUUAGGUACUUCUUUGUUACCUAACACAUUUGCAUGUUACUGGUCAUCAUGAACUAGAAAAAAAUUUAUGUAGCUGAUUAAUGGUCUCUAAGAGAUGAAAUGCUCUGUCUUUUUUACUAUUAAUUGCUAGGCUCAGGAAAAAUACUCCGAGCUGAAUUCAUCUUUGCAUGCAUUGGAUGAAGGUAGAUGUUACACUAUACUGUUUUCAGAGCCAGUUUUGUAUUGUUUGGUUUCUUGUGUCUGAUCAAACUCAUCAGGGAAACCACGAAAGAGGUUGUUUAUUCUUCUCCCUGUGAUGAGGUUUCUCUCCUUUUUGUGAAGCACUGGUGCUCUUACUUAAAAUUAAAGCUCUCGAGUAAUGGCACUACAACCAAGAAUAAUGUAAAAAAAAAAUUUUUUUUUGUCUAAAGCCAAUUCCCUCUUAAAUUCUGCAGCCAGUCUUUUAUUCUUGGGAUAUAACAGGCACUGGUUAAAUACAGAAUCUGACAGAAUACUGAGCAUAUUCUUUAUGCUUAGCAAAUAACUCUGUACAAUAUUAACUAAUACUCUCAUUCUGGCUUUUUCUCCUAGAAACUAGGAUUCCUUAUGUAGCUUUUGGCUCUCAUUUGUCCUUCUGAAAUUCAAAAUGGAGGUUGGAUUCUUUCCAUUUGUUUUCUCUGACUUCGGGGAGAAUUUUCCAGCUAUGUAGAGAAGGCAGCUUCUGAGAAUGGAAACAGGAACCUCUGCACAGAAACUCUGAUACUGAGAAACAAAGCACCAUUUGUGAUUUAUGGGUUUAAUACUUUUAACACUUAAAAUAAUGAAAAAUGUUCUUCAUGUCUUAUAUAAGCUUUGUGUUAAGGUCUGGGGGCUUUAUUUUCAUUGUACUUUCUUAGAGUGUUUAAAAACCUAUGAGUUUGGAAGACCAAGUUCUUCAGUCCCCAGAAAAUCUGUUACAGAAUAUUACUGACUGCUCAUGGAGUGUUUGCUAGAUAUUAAUUCAAGAGAGUGCUUUUAAUGGUUUCAUUGAAUAUCCACUAAAACCGAUGGAAAGUCUUCUGUGAACUGAGGCUUAAAAAAGUCUUUGUGCUGCACUACUUUGCUUACAGGUACAUCCUGUUUAAACUGCAAAUGUGUUCCCUGGCUAUUUAGCUGGGCAGCUGGCUUGCAGGCUAAGAACUUUUCAAAAAAUUGUUUAGGUCCUAUCAAAACGCCCUCAAAACAAUGUUCUGUUUCCUCUGGGAAUUCUUAAUUCCCGACUUUGCAUUCUGAAUGUGUAGUGGAAGAAUCAGAAAUGUAAAUGUAGCUGGGUGGGUAAUCUAGUUCCAGUAUCACUGUAGUGUACCAUAGAUGUAUAAAUUCAAAUAUAUGCAGAUUGUUCAGCUUGGAAAAGAGGAGACUGAAUGGGAAUGUGAUAGAAGUUUACAGGACUUUACAUGUGGUGCAAAGGUGAGUAGGGCAUGGUCUUUCACUUUUUUCCCAACAGAAGUAGUAUUUGAAUUAAGUUGUCAGGCAUCAGUUUUAAAACAUAUGGAAAGAUGCGUCUUCAGAGACUGGGUAUUUAAACUAUAAAAUUCAUUGCCAAAAGAUACUAUGGAGGCCAAAAAUAUUCAGAAAGGAAUCAUAAAAUACUGGAUGGAGGACAGAGUUAUCUGAUUUGGAUAUAUGCAUACAAAAGGGUUUGGAUGCAACUUUUAAAUGAAAGAAGUCCCCAAACCAAUUUUUAGAAUUUGGGAGGAUUUACAACGUUAAGAAUUAUUCUCUAUGCGCUGUGAAUUUUAUCCUCUUUCUAUAAAAUGUAAUAAAUAAAAUAAACUUUUUUGAAUCCAACUUCAGUAUGGGAUGCAUAAAGGCAUUUACACUGUAAAUAAUGAUGAUUCUAAUGGCUUCUAGAUAAAUGCUCUAAAAACUGAACUCAUUUUCCAUAGAAGUAUUUACUCCUCCAAGUUAAAUGCACAUGACCAAUCUUCAAGGGGAUACAACAAGCCUGCCAGUUUCCAGGAGAAUGUGGUGGCAGUUCUGUUUCACUGCUGCAAGGUUAGAGUGAUUUUUUUUGUGAUAUUUCCAGCAGGACAAACUAAAAAGCCAGCUGGAAAAUACUGAUAAGCAUUACAUAAAAGAUUUUAAAAUGCCACACUUUGCAAUCCAUUCCAAUCCCAAUUAGCAGCAAUCUUUCACCCUCGUGUUUGAAAUAAUCCCUUCAUGCAUAUACUGGAUUCUGCAUGCACAUUCAUACUCUUAAAAAUUGUUUAAACAAUGUAGAAAGCACAUAACACUGUAUGGUGUUCACAAGGAAAAUGAAGAUUUUUUUCCUCUUUAAAAGAUACUAUUCUCAGAUAAAAGUCUCCUUAACAUGCAAUAAGAACUCCAAUAUUUUCCUAUAAUAAUUAUAAGAAAAAUAAAAGAAAUGCACUUUGGUGCUGUGAGCUAUGUUUUUAGUCAACACCAUUAAAAAAGCAGUAGGCGAGUAAUUAAGAAUGUGGCUUUCAUUUUCUUUUCAUUUUUGAUCCAAGUAUGUCCAUAAGAUUGUAUAUGUAUGCCACAUACAUGUUCUUAAAAAUAUUAAUGUUUAAUCUGGAUGAUACUCAUUGAAAUGGGAAUAAAAGCCAGUUUGUGCUUAAAAUACUGUAACUAUUGAUCACUCAUUGAAGACUUAUUUUAGAACAUGACUUCAAGUUUAACUGUAACUCGGCAUUGAAAGAUCUAAAGUGAAGUGUGAAAGUUUUCUAUGGUUUUAAAUUAGUAUAGGUUUUGCUUAUGAAUAUUUAAUGCGAUAUUUAAUAUGAUAUUUAAGCUGACUAGAUCCAAGUGAUGCCUUCACUCCAGAAAGCCCUUUAUGAUCGUAUGCACAUAUAGAUACCUAAGCAUAUUAAAUAUUUGGGUUUCUUAAAGUGCUGACCACAAUAUCCUGUAUUCUAUGUGAAACUGUCUGUCAUGAGCUUGCUCUCUAGCGUAUGUUCAUUAACUUUCCCUUUUCCGUUCCUUGAAGGUGGUAUUCUUAUAUAAAUCUUACAGCACAAGCUUCAGAGCCUGCUCUGAAGGGCUUUCUGACUGCUUUUAAAACUGCUGUGCAUAUGCAAGAUGCAGUUGAUGCAUUGACUCCCUCAAAGAGUCAGUGGCAUGAAGGUUUGAGAUCAGACUGCUGGGAAAGAAAACAGCAAAAAAAAAACCUCAGGUUGACUCAACAUAUACAGCUGUUUAUUUUUUUGAAUUCAUUUAUUUUACAACAGAAAAAAAAAACACUACAAAACCUAGGCAACAAAUACUUGCUUUGGAGCACAUUCUGGGUGUAAGGUUAGAUCUUUUGCUUAAGGUAAGUCCCCUUUGCCUUACUUCCCAGGUGCAAAGUAAUUUUAAAGCUCUCUAGAAGAAUCUUCCCAGAUCUCUAAGCCAGUGCAUUUGCCAGCUGACAUUACUUAGUGAUCUAUUUUUGCCUUAAGCUGCGUAACUCUUGACCAGCUCUAAGAUGCUGUGUAGGUAAGCCAGUUUAGAGAUCCACUUCUGACUUUACCAGAAGUUUAAUCUCUCCCCAGUCAAUACAGUUAAUUUUUUUUUCUUACAAAAUUAGACUUAAAGGCAUAAAAUAGAAAUACGUUUCUCAGGUUUGUGCCUUUUACAGAAACUAAAUACUAGUAGUUACUGGUUUGCUUGACAAAAGUGAGUAUGUUGAUAUGUCUGUAGUUUAAUCUGAAGAGGGACAAGUGUUGCCCUGAUACAGAGUUGAGAUAUGUUCAGGACAUGCAGUGGACUUGCAGACUGGAAACAUUUUGAAGUCUACUAAUUAGGACCUUGCCUUAGCAUCUUGACUGGAAGAUGACCGGUCGUCUUAGCAUCUUAAACCAGAAUGCAAACGUGUUUGCUGCUAAUAGUUACUGAGAAAAUGAUAAUGAUGUCUGCUGAUGACACAAACUAGAUAUGAAUGCCAAACAUACUAGUAACUGAUUAUAACUUGCAGGCAAGUCUGUUCCAUCAAAAGAUAAAUAUCUUACUCCUUUCCUACCAUGACAACAUAGUUGGGUAUAAAGAAAACCAAAGAGUGCAUAUGAAAAAAAAAUUCAUGAAUACAUACAUUAAAAAUAACAAGUUAAAACAAUGGAGAAGGAAUAUGAAUUACACUGUCCUGCAAUUGUUUUCAUUGCUUCAAUUUUUCUACAUGAAAUCUUGUUUAAAAAAGUUCAGUGCGGUAUUCUUAGCAGACUUUAAUUGGUAGAAUGAUUAAAUUGAUCAAACCCUUUGAUAAAAGUGCUUCUUAAAGGUUUUCACACUUCUGUUGUCCAACAUUGUUCCUAAAAGUUAGCAGCUACCUCAUGCCUUUUUUGUAAGUGUUCUCAGGUGACUGUUGUCAUUAUGUUUCAAUGAAGUAUAAUAAAACACCGUAUCAUAUAAGUCUGCAUCUCA